Molecule: ribosomal RNA, 253 nt
Filed under: uncultured bacterium
Lineage: Bacteria
Description: partial 16S ribosomal RNA
Rfam family: Bacterial small subunit ribosomal RNA
Source: RNAcentral
UACGUAGGGGGCUAGCGUUGUCCGGAUUUAUUGGGCGUAAAGAGUGUGUAGGCGGCCAGGUAGGUCUGCUGUGAAAACUCGAGGCUCAACCCCGAGACGUCGGCGGAAACCAUCUGGCUAGAGUCCGGAAGAGGAGAGUGGAAUUCCUGGUGUAGCGGUGAAAUGCGCAGAUAUCAGGAAGAACACCCGUGGCGAAGGCGGCUCUCUGGGACGGUACUGACGCUGAGACGCGAAAGCGUGGGGAGCGAACAGG